RNAcentral lists this ribosomal RNA (812 nucleotides) under uncultured Streptococcus sp. RNAcentral describes it as "bacterial SSU rRNA". It matches the Rfam family "Bacterial small subunit ribosomal RNA", at positions 64 to 850 of the family's 1533-position model. The record is from RNAcentral. Lineage: Bacteria; Bacillati; Bacillota; Bacilli; Lactobacillales; Streptococcaceae.
GAACGCACAGGAUGCACCGUAGUUUACUACACCGUAUUCUGUGAGUUGCGAACGGGUGAGUAACGCGUAGGUAACCUGCCUGGUAGCGGGGGAUAACUAUUGGAAACGAUAGCUAAUACCGCAUAAGAACAUUUACUGCAUGGUAGAUGUUUAAAAGGUGCAAAUGCAUCACUACCAGAUGGACCUGCGUUGUAUUAGCUAGUAGGUGAGGUAACGGCUCACCUAGGCGACGAUACAUAGCCGACCUGAGAGGGUGAUCGGCCACACUGGGACUGAGACACGGCCCAGACUCCUACGGGAGGCAGCAGUAGGGAAUCUUCGGCAAUGGGGGGAACCCUGACCGAGCAACGCCGCGUGAGUGAAGAAGGUUUUCGGAUCGUAAAGCUCUGUUGUUAAGGAAGAACGAGUGUGAGAAUGGAAAGUUCAUACUGUGACGGUACUUAACCAGAAAGGGACGGCUAACUACGUGCCAGCAGCCGCGGUAAUACGUAGGUCCCGAGCGUUGUCCGGAUUUAUUGGGCGUAAAGCGAGCGCAGGCGGUUAGAUAAGUCUGAAGUUAAAGGCAGUGGCUCAACCAUUGUAGGCUUUGGAAACUGUUUAACUUGAGUGCAGAAGGGGAGAGUGGAAUUCCAUGUGUAGCGGUGAAAUGCGUAGAUAUAUGGAGGAACACCGGUGGCGAAAGCGGCUCUCUGGUCUGUAACUGACGCUGAGGCUCGAAAGCGUGGGGAGCGAACAGGAUUAGAUAUCCUGGUAGUCCACGCCGUAAACGAUGAGUGCUAGGUGUUAGGUCCUUUCCGGGACUUAGUGCCGCA